Oreochromis aureus is the source of this 3199-nucleotide long non-coding RNA. The record is from Ensembl. Lineage: Eukaryota; Metazoa; Chordata; Actinopteri; Cichliformes; Cichlidae.
ACAAAGCAGACUUACAUGGAGAGACUACACAGACUGAAUGACAUGUAUGCUUUUAGCCCCGAGAUGAUUUUCUGGGCUACACUUAGUAACUACAAAAACAGCAGCCCAAAGCCCUUCAUGCCUGCCGCCACAGAGAAGAACUCCAGGUGCUGGGAAAAAAGACCAGAAAUAUACCAUCCAGGUGCCAGUGGUGAAUUCACAUGCCAGAGAGUAAGAAGACAUCUUAUUUUAAAUAUGAAGAUGAUUUUGAUCUACAUGAUCAUCGCAGCUCCAGCAAUGACCGCUGUGGCACAAGGGUCUUCAGAAUGCAAUCUAACUGAACCUGGGCCCCAGACAUGUUUUGGAGUUUUAGGAGAACCGCUCGUUUUUUACAUACCUACUAAACCACAUAUAAAGACAAGCUUGAAAAAGAGUACAGAUAAGAUUUUAAUGUUAAUAAAUGAUAAAUUAGUUAGUCUCAAUGAAAAAUACAAGAAUCGUACUAUAUUCUCCACAAAUGGAACAUUGAAGCUCAACAAAGCAACAAAAAAUGACUCUGGAGAGUACAGCAUGGAAACACACAAUUCUACUGAAGGUGUGUUAUUGUACACAGUUAACAUCCAUCUACAUAUACUAGCUCCUGUGUCAGAACCAGCUGUUACGCAGAUGUGUUUGUCACCAAAACAGAUGACAGUCAGCUGUUUCUCUGAAGGAGACGAAGUAGAGUUCAUUUUGUCUUUGGAUGAUAAGUUGUUGAUACAGUCUACAGCUGACGGUAUAGAAAACAACAACAUUUCAAAUGUUACCAUCAACUUACCUGGUCAGCUGAUGGGAAACCUGACAUGUGUUGCUCAAAACAAUGCCAGCAGAAAACAAACUAUCACCCACCUUACAAGCUGCACAGCUCCUGUGUCAGAACCAGCUGUUUCGCAGAUGUGUUUGUCACCAAAACAGAUGACAGUCAGUUGCUCCUCUGAAGGAGAUGAAGUAGAGUUCACCUUGUUUUUGGAUGAUAACUUGUUGAUAAAAACCCAACCCAGCAUUGCAGAAAACCACAACAUUUCAAAUGUUACCAUCAGUUUACAUGGUCAGCUGAUGGGAAAUUUUAUGUGUAUCGUCCAAAACAACAUCAGCAGAGAACAAACCAUCAUCCACCUUAUAAGCUGCACAGGUAAUAUUUCUGACCACUGCAUUGUGACCAUGGCUGUGGUAGUAAGCAUUGCCAUUCUACUCAUUCUGGCUGUGUUUCUUGGUAUCCGGAAAUUCAAAAACACAACUGGCAUUAUGACUGUUCAUGAAGAUGAAGCUGAAGAGGACGUUGUCUACUCAGAUAUUAGACUGAAGCAGCGUGCAAGAGAAACAAGAGAAACACCACCUAUUUCAAAUCAAGAUGAAAGUUAACGUUCUCCUAAACAGUCUGACAUUCUGAAACCUAAAACCUAACAUGUUGACUUUCGGUCAACUGGCUAAUAAAACUAUGCCAGUUUAGCAGUUCCAUCUUUGCAGUGAACGUGAAGGUAAACAUAUUUAACAAGCACUCACUGGAUUACUUUAAUUUUGAAGAAAACAUAAAGGGGAAAAAGUUAUUUCGAAGGCAUUUAAUAUACAUGAAAUACUUAUUUAUACUUAUUUAUAAAUGCUUUAUAUUUGAACUACAUUUUAUUUGACAUAAUUUAAAUAAACUACAUCAACCUUGUAAAAGUUCUAACCAACAUUUUACAUUUAACCUUGGAGAUUGAAUAAAAGGCUUUGGUCAGUGAUGGUGCUUUCCUUGUGUUGUGUUAAGCAGACGUGGGCUGUGCCUCAUGUUUGAGAUAAAAACAUCAGGGCUACUUUUUUCUGUGUUGUCAUGACAUUAAAACCACAAACUAUAUCCUGUUUUCACUGAGCUGCUAAACCUCUAAACCAUGUGACAUUACCUAAGCUGCACAGUUGUCAGUGAGAAAGGAAAAAUACCUGUAUAAUGCAUAAAACACUGGCUUGUUUGUUGACGAUUAUUGAUCAUAGUAGAGACUUAAGAGAUCUAAGAUCAUGAAAAGAAGGUUUUAAUUUUUUUGAAGAUGUUUUACCUCUCAUCAGGUGGAAAGUACCUGUUAUCUAACCCCUAGUAGGGGCUGUCCCUUAGGAGGUGAUCAUUGAUCCACUAUUAAUCAUCUGCGACAUGACAUUAGCCAUGGUGUGUAAAAAGGCAUGGGCCAUUACCACCAAAGGUUUUGGAUGAAACCACUGUAAGACCUUUACCCUAUCAUGUGACCUAUUGAGGGAUCUCAGGACUGCGUUGUGGGUAGCUGACAGUUGGUGUCGUAAGCUGCUCGCUCUGUUCAAAGGUGGUUGUUCACAGUGGAAAUAGAUGGUCUCUUUUGCUCCUCUUUUAAACCAACCAUCUGUCUUUUCAGUCCAAAAUGUGAACAUUGGCAUCCCUGAAAUAGUGACUUUGUCCUUUAGGUGCAGAUGUACAGCUGAGUCUUGUCCUGUCGAGGUGGCUCUUCUAUGUUGUGUCAUGUAUUUGUCGAGUGGCUAUGCCGUUUCUCCAGUGUAGAGCUCACUGCACUGCACAGCAUAUGCUUUGUUGUUUGUCUUGUGUUUUGGAUGACUGAGAACCAACAAAGACAUCAAGCAGCAAUACAAAAACAUGAAGGGCACAAACUCCCCUGCAGGCAAUUCUUCUAAGUAGUAUUUUAAUAUAGUUUCAUUAUCUUGUGUAAGGUGACAUAAAUCCAUCAAUAAUUUAUUUUAUAUGCUUGACAUGUGUGAAAGAGUCAGUACAUGGAGUUUGUGAGACACGUAUAACUGUGUGUGUUUGGUCGGCAACCUGGUGAUGCAAUUAAAAUUUCAUUGUGUUUUCAAAUGAAAAUAAAGGCUUUGAAUCUUGUUGACCAACAUUUAGAUUUUCAGUAAUAUUUGUCCAGUUUUGUGAUCCUAUGGCAUUUUUGAAGUAUAAAAAAGUCUGUGCUCUCCUCAUGUUUUACAUAAAUCUGCCUCAAAGUGUUACAUUUAUUCUCUGUAUGUAUCUCAAUCAUACAAACCAUUAUGUUUAAGUCAAGCAUAACGUAGAAAGGAACAACGCUGUAAUAACCUCGCAUUAAACAAGAAUUGGUGUUUUCCUUUACAUGUAUUAUUUGGUGAUUUGUGAUAAUUCUGUGAUGAUCUAGUAAAAGCUGUAGCCUUUAAUAGUAAAUGUAAAAAUGCAUAGUAUCAGCACUCAUCACAUGGUGGAGCC